GCCAGUGUGGAAUAGCGGUUUGAGUGUUAAACUACAAUUCUGGAGACCAGGGUUCGAAUCCCCACUCAGCCA
This 72-nucleotide transfer RNA is filed under the name Phrynosoma platyrhinos (Desert horned lizard). Its description in RNAcentral is "tRNA-OTHER". The record is from RNAcentral. Lineage: Eukaryota; Metazoa; Chordata; Lepidosauria; Squamata; Phrynosomatidae.